GGGCACCACCAGGGGGUGCAGCUGCGGCUUAUUUGACUCAUCACGGGAAAUCUCACCAGGCCCGGACACCGGAAGGAUUGACAGAUUAACAGCUCUUUCUUGAUUCGGUGGGUGGUGGUGCAUGGCCGUUCUUAGUUGGUGGAGCGAUUUGUCUGGUUAAUUCCGGUAACGAACGAGACUCUAGCCUGCUAAAUAGGCGUCACCAUUUAGGUGUGCUCGACUUCGGUCGUGCAACUCACUGGCGGCGUAUUAAAAUUCUUCUUAGAGGGACCGGCGGCUUCGAGCCGCACGAGAUUGAGCAAUAACAGGUCUGUGAUGCCCUUAGAUGUCCUGGGCCGCACGCGCGCUACAUUGAAGGAAUCA
This 363-nucleotide ribosomal RNA is filed under the name Aeromachus jhora. RNAcentral's name for it is "SSU rRNA". It matches the Rfam family "Eukaryotic small subunit ribosomal RNA", at positions 1162 to 1514 of the family's 1831-position model. Lineage: Eukaryota; Metazoa; Arthropoda; Insecta; Lepidoptera; Hesperiidae. The record is from RNAcentral.